This is a regulatory RNA element of Cavia porcellus (domestic guinea pig), 294 nucleotides long. It matches the Rfam family "Mason-Pfizer monkey virus packaging signal". From Rfam's summary of the family: The packaging signal is located in the 5' UTR and is required for specific RNA encapsidation. The record is from Rfam. Lineage: Eukaryota; Metazoa; Chordata; Mammalia; Rodentia; Caviidae.
UGGUGCCCAAUGUGGGGCUCUUGGCACAGAGGAUUCAAUGAGGGAGCCGUUCAGAGAUGCCAGCCAAAACUGAAACUAAAGAUCCGAGACCUACGCCACGCAGGAGCCUGCCAUGCCGCUUGAGCCACGGUAAGAGAAUGGCGAUCCCUUCCCCCUUUCCCGGCAUGGGUCAAGCAUUGAGUGACCACGAACUUUUCGUGGGAGGCCUAAGUAAGGCGUUAAAGUCAAGAGGGAUUAAGGCUAAAGAAAAAGAUUUAUUAUAAUAUUUUCAAUUUAUUCAUAAGGUUUGUCCCU